Molecule: long non-coding RNA, 2714 nt
Organism: Siniperca chuatsi (mandarin fish)
Lineage: Eukaryota; Metazoa; Chordata; Actinopteri; Centrarchiformes; Sinipercidae
Exons: 2
Source: RefSeq, a predicted model, not a curated record
GCCUCCAGCUGGUUCUCCAGUUUACUGAUGAGAGGUUCACAGCGGCAGCCGUUCAGAGGAGCCUGCAACACACCGCAAAUAUCAACAAAACAGCACUCACAACAAACAUGUCCAACAAACUCCAAAAUCCCAGGAUCCUGUAGGAAUCAUGACUCCAUUUUUCCAGUGACCAACUGAUUGGUCAGUAGUCAGGUUGUUGGCAGGUUUUGAUCCGAUCCUCUAAAGUUAACCUGCUCUGGAGCCAGCAAAUGAGCCAGCUUUGUGAUACCCGAAAACCUGAAUUAAACCCAAAGAUAGCUGCUAACCCACUAAUCUUGCUUUGAGAUGUACGGCCCCAGGUCUUUUUUAGUGUCACUUCAUUCAAAUCAACUUGUUUACAUCUUCAGUGAAAAUACACCACAAACUUGUGAUAUGUGGUGAUGCAAAAUGUUGUGGUCCUGGUGGUAAUUUGCAGUAGGCCUAGUAAACAUUCACCUAAAUCUGUCCAGUGCAGCUGUCAGAGGCUGCAGAUGCGGCGGCCAGUAGCUCCUUCAAAUGUCGCUACAUUUUUAAUUUGUUAUUUUUAUUACUGAAGCACGUACUGAGCAAAUACCUAUGACAGAAACACACUCACCGGUAUUGGAAAAAGAAAACGCGGGGAUUGGAUUAAGUGCAGCAGACCCUGGGACGAUCAUUGCUCAAGGUAUCUUGAGCACCCAACUAGACCAGCUGGACCAAGCAUCGCCAGGAAGAGAAGGAAGAGUGCUGGGAUAAGAGCUAAGCUAACCCAGUUUGGACCUAAGGCUGCUCCACUAACCAGCCUACUCCUGGCUAAUGUCCGGUCGCAUGAAAAUGGAAUGGACGAAAUGGGACUCAGGCUAACCCAGCAACAGGAAAUCAGAGACUGUUGUGCCCACAUCUUAUGGAGACCUGGCUCCAUCCCAAGAUCCUGGAUCAAGCUAUUGCUUUGUGCUCAAACAUAGUCAAAGGGCAACUAGGGCUACCGCUAUCGAUUAUUUUAGUAAUCAAGUAUUCUACUGAUUAUUCUAUCGAUUAAUCAGGCCACUGAGCAAAUAUUGAUUUCACAGUUCAUGAGUUAUUAGCCAAAACAUAAAACACGUAAUAACUGACCACAUGGUGGCGCUAUAGAUACCCUGAUUUAAUAUGUAAAGCAUUUCCACAUGGGGCAGCUGUCCAUAAAAUAUGAAUGCUUUAGCACUUGUAUUUUUUAAGAUUUCAGCUUUCAAACAUUGCUCCCAUAGAUUUCCCAUUAUAAAUUUAAUACUUAAAAAAUUAUAUAAAAUCACGAAUCACAAAAAUAAAGAAAAGUAAUAGCAUACAUCUCGUGAAAAAUAUGUACAAUUUGACAAUGAAACAAAGUUUUUAGCACUAGCGGUACAGGAGUAGACAGAGGACAAAAAAUGGCUGAAUGAUAAUAAUGAACAAAAAAAGAUGUUUUUUAAAAUGCACAUCAACGUAAAUAUUGAACAGUAAUAUUAAAGACUCACAUUGAAUGAUGAGCUUGAGAACACACAAAAUGCAUAACACACAAAAUUUUGUGUGAGAGCUGGAAUAUGCAAAAGAGAAAAUAAGACAGAUCUCUCAAAAUACACAAGUAAGUGGUUUACUGUUUAGAAAAAAUCUUUUUUUUUUGCUUAAAUUGCAUACAAUAAUAUUAUCUGUCAAAACUAAACCCAUGUAGUGCAUUUAAGUGCCAUAUUACAUUCUGGGUUUUUGCUUUAAAAAAGGUAUAUAGUUUCAACCUAACUACAGCUCAGGCAUAAUGUAAGCCUUUACUGUCUUCUUUGUGGCAUUUGUAACAGGCAAACACAAGUGGACAGUAACUGUGACUAUCAUAAUAAUAAAUAACAUAAAUGAAGCUCAGGCUUUCACAAAUUGACUACAGCAUUUUAUUUUCUGUGGUUAAUAUCUUGAAAAAAACCUAGCUAAUUUAGGAACAUCAUAACUAGUCACCAUAUUGAUUUAUGUUGUUAACUAGCCAUUACAUAUAGCCAUAAUUAACGUAACCUACAUUCUUUACUAGCCUUCAUAUACCUUGUGUCGGGUCCACUCUGUGGACUGGAUGCAUAGACUGUAACGUUAUGCUUUCUGCUGAGAUCCUGAAACAUAGACGUCGUGCUAUUGUGGUAGGCUAGUUCAGUUUUACAAUAGACACACUAUACAGAGUUUUAGUGGACACAUUCUGUCACUUUCUCUGGCCUGUCUCUUCUCUGCGCCCCUCACAAUUUUCUCUCUCUUCCUCCGCUUUGUAAUGCGCACUAUCAAAUCACACCAAAGAUGCUCUGAAUCGUCUCUGAUCACACAGAGCGUAAGUGCGUUGUGCGACAGUAAUAAUCAUUUGUGUGAAACACAGUGCGCUGUAUAUAGUUAGAUGGAUUAAACAAAGCUUCGAUACAAAUAUUUUGAAUCGAUGAUUUUUAGUAAUCGAGUUACUCAAGGAAUCAUUUCAGCCCUAUUAUCAAACUAUCUUGUUGAUACAUUCCCCCAGACACAAAUUAAAAAAAUGCACUACAGCCUUAUUACUUUCUUGGUGUAUACGUGUAUAGGUAUAUAUGUAUGUAAAUAACUGUUGUUUUAUUUAUUUUAUUCUAUUCUAAAUUUAAAUAUCUGUAUAUAUGUUCUGUGUGUGUAGUAUGAAGGGGCUAUAACUUAGAUUUCAUUGUGCAACCCUGUGUUGUAAAAUGACAAAUAAAUUACCUUGAUUCAUCCAUGUA